RNAcentral lists this long non-coding RNA (1329 nucleotides) under Bos taurus (domestic cattle). RNAcentral describes it as "long non-coding RNA NONBTAT018888". Lineage: Eukaryota; Metazoa; Chordata; Mammalia; Artiodactyla; Bovidae. The record is from RNAcentral.
GACAUCUCUUAUAACAGGUAUUGACUCUCCCAACUACUUUUGGUGUCUAUAUGACAUAAAGCAGAAUAUAUAGUGAGCAUCGAAGUAACAAGUUCUCUAUGUGCAAAGCUCCUCUUUAGGGAAGCAUACAUUUUUAAAAAGGAUUAACAAUAAAGGAGUACAAAGUAAAACUGCCUGUGGUCCUUAGACUGAAAAUGGCAAAUAGAAAAGGUAAGUUUUUUGGCAUAAUUCCUAAAUGUAGACAGUUGGUGGCCAUGUUUGCUUACAAAGGCAUUGGCUAGCAGAUCAGUUUCUCAGAUGCAUCAUAGCUAAUCAGCUGAUUUUUUAAGCCUUUAAAUUUGAAACCAGUGGACAUGAGAAAAAGUGGGUUUUUGGUUAGUAUCUCCUGAAGUAAUACUAAAUUUACUCACCUGAAUUUAAAGGUCAUCUGUUCUUUUACUGGGUCGGGAAAAAGAUCGUUUGUAGCCCCUGCUUGCGUCCCGUGUAGCUCCCCUUUCCUAGGCUUCCCUAAGACUCAGGCUCGGCGCGGCUUGUCCACAUCAUGUGAGGGUGGCCAUGGGAGCCCUCGGGGUCAUUCAGUCAUAUUCUGACUGCCUUCUGUUACUCCUUUGGAGGACAGAGUUUAAUUCCUUCUAAUUUCUUCCUGGUCCCACUUCAGAAAUAUUUUGCCAUCAUUAAAUUAAAAAGUGUGGAGUAAAAAUGUCCAGCUACAAAAUUUCAUCUUUGCACUAAAUGUCAUUACUGAUUGACCCACUGUUAGGUGACUGACCUGAGAGCUAUCAAGAAAUGGCCUGCGAAUUUUUCUUCAGUUCUGUAUUGUCAGAACAGACACUUGCUUAUGGCCAGGCAGUAAUUUAAUUAAUGCUCAUAAUUUGGAUUUAGACAGAGCUUUAGUUUGUAGAAAUUUCAAGUGAAACAUAAGGAUUUAAUGGGAAUGACUGUUAACUGCUCGAUUACAUUAUAUAAAACACCUUAAAAUGAUGCUUUUUCUGAGUGGUUUGAAAGAUGUAGCAAGUCCACUUCAUGUAUUUAGGGAAAGUUAAGUGGACCGUUUGUUUUCUCUUCACAUAAAUUAUUGUUUUUAACUAGAGAAAAAUACAUGGUUUUUUAAGCUCUAAGAGUUACAUUAUAACACAGUAAUGUUUGUAUUAAAAUGCCAUAUAGAAGUUAGUAUGAAUGAGGCACAUGUAAUUUGGGAAUAUUAAAUGUACUCUGUAAUGCCUUUUCUGAGAGCCUCUGGGUCUGAAAACAUCAGUAUUGGGUGAUUGUUUAUUCAGGUUUUGAUUGUCCCAAUAACAGGUAUCCAGACUUUGCUUUUUGAUUUAUCCU